This 497-nucleotide ribosomal RNA is filed under the name uncultured bacterium. Its description in RNAcentral is "partial 16S ribosomal RNA". It matches the Rfam family "Bacterial small subunit ribosomal RNA", at positions 28 to 507 of the family's 1533-position model. The record is from RNAcentral.
GAUGAACGCUGGCGGCGUGCCUAAUACAUGCAAGUCGAGCGAACGGACGAGAAGCUUGCUUCUCUGAUGUUAGCGGCGGACGGGUGAGUAACACGUGGAUAACCUACCUAUAAGACUGGGAUAACUUCGGGAAACCGGAGCUAAUACCGGAUAAUAUUUUGAACCGCAUGGUUCAAAAGUGAAAGACGGUCUUGCUGUCACUUAUAGAUGGAUCCGCGCUGCAUUAGCUAGUUGGUAAGGUAACGGCUUACCAAGGCAACGAUGCAUAGCCGACCUGAGAGGGUGAUCGGCCACACUGGAACUGAGACACGUUCCAGACCCCUACGGGAGGCAGCAGUAGGGAAUCUUCCGCAAUGGGCGAAAGCCUGACGGAGCAACGCCGCGUGAGUGAUGAAGGUCUUCGGAUCGUAAAACUCUGUUAUUAGGGAAGAACAUAUGUGUAAGUAACUGUGCACAUCUUGACGGUACCUAAUCAGAAAGCCACGGCUAACUACGUG